UGCUAUCAGGAAACGGGACUCCCUUUCUCCUGGGACCCAAAACAAACAUUUCUGCUCUCCUGUUUCUCUGUUUCUCCUGACCGCGCCCCACCCGGUUUGGAGGUCCACACGUGCCUUAAACCCAGGUCCCUGGCUGCAGAGAGAAGGGGAGGUCCACGAGGAAGGGAUGAACUGGGCUGAAGAGGCUCUUUCGUUUUCGGAACGGGAGGCCUCCGCGGGCAUUUGCAGUUUCCGCCGCCCGUUGCAGCUCGAGAUUUACACUCUGAACUUGUUCAGGCGAUUAACAAAGGCAGAAGGUAGAAAGAAUCCCGAAAAUCUGUACAAGAAAAUCUAUUCUGUGAGCCCCGGUCGCUUUCGGAGAAAAAGAAAGGAAAGGAAAAAGGAAAGGAAAGAAAAACGCUACCUAUUUAAAAUGCGAAUUUAUUAUUUCCUGCCAGCAGAGAGGGCGGACAAAGUUGAUUUUUGCAAUUCUCUAACUGCAUCUGAGCUUAGUCUUCUAAUGCCCGUGGGGGUGAGGAAAGAAAGGUGGAAAAAUCCCUUUCGGAGUCCCCCGCUAAGCCCAAACUGACCGGC
RNAcentral lists this long non-coding RNA (573 nucleotides) under Salvator merianae (Argentine black and white tegu). Its description in RNAcentral is "lncRNA (ENSSMRG00000009601.1)". The record is from RNAcentral. Lineage: Eukaryota; Metazoa; Chordata; Lepidosauria; Squamata; Teiidae.